GCGCCUUUGUGCAAUGUUACAAAUUGAAGACAUCGUAGUUUUCUAAUGCGUGAAUGGAAAUAAUAUCCGCUUUAGAAUCAGAAAGCCAGUCACCGAGGCUAAUAAUUGGAUGCAAACAAUUUGUUCUGGAACAUUUGGUUUAGCAGAUUUUUUUUAUUUUGAAAACAAAAGGCGGAAUUCCUCAAAAUAAUUACAAAAAUGAGCCAUUUUGAAAUGCAAAUAUCUCAUUAUAUUCUGAAAUAGAAUUCAUGUUCUUGGUGUCAUUCUGUAGGCAAACCCUUUCUUGUUUUUAUGGCUAUUUGUUACAUUUAACAAAAUCGGGAAAGGACGUACUGUUUUGCUCAAAAGUGACUGUCCACAUUAAAAAAUAAAAUGGCCGCGACGUUACAACAAAGAUGCAUGCUUUGGCGAUUAUUUUGCAAAAAGUAAACAAUGAGACUAUUUUCAUCUUUCAACGAUCAGGAAUAAAUUUCAUAAAUUGAUUUAAAAUGGUUCUGUCAUCCAACAUUUCUCGUCUAUUUCUGGAAACCGGAUUCCAAAUUUAGACUGCAUUUUCCGAAAAUCUAUUGUUGCACGGAAAGAAGGUGUUGUAAAAGAAAGACCUUUUACUUGGUACGGAUGCAGUCUGGAUUACGUAAGUUAUGUCUGAAUUCACUAAUUCUCGUAGGGAUCAGUGAGUUUAGGUAGUCAGGGACCAGAGAAUGCUGAAUUUUGUAAAACAAUGUUAAUUUAUGAAUAUGACGUCUAUUUUCAAGCGUUUGCAGAUGGGAGAACAGGAAAAUAUUUAUGAGAAAUUACAACUCAGAAUAUCUGCCAUUGAAAACUACGAAGGAUGGGGUCAGAUGGCAAUUAAAGGAGCAAAAAUCUGUAUGCAAAGAGCACUGUGAUGUGAUUUGUACAGGCCAGGAUGUUCAAGUUUUAUAAGCAUACUGAAGUGUUGUGAGACACACUUUCCACAACAGUGUUAUGGAGAUAAAAUCAAGUAUUCAUUUCUCAAAUACUGAGCAGAUAUAUUGAAUUCAACUAAUACAAUGCCAUUCCAGCUUGAUAAAUUCUGUAAGGCUGUAGAAACGUUGAUGCAUUUGAUUUUGUGUGAUGCAGAAAACGUUAAAAUGUGAACACUGAUUUAAUUUUUGAAGAGCACUGUUGUGAAGAGGUGAUCUGGUAGGAUGUUCUAGUUCCACUAACAUACAGCAGUGUGACAACAUAUUUCUUGAGGAAAAAUUCAGGGAUUGGCAGUGCAGUACACAUUUAUCGUACUUGAUGAAAUGUUACCAGGGAAAAGCCGAAAUUGUGUCAUAUUACCGGUAUGACUAAUAUCAACUGAUUUAGACAUGUUGGAACUCACAGCAACUUGGGUGUCAGAAAUAUUAUUCUUAUUAUUCUGACAUGUUUGAAUGCAUGGAGUAGGAUUUACAAGCGUCUAAAUUUUACCAGACAGGACCUUGUUGGACUCUACAAAAUCACGAUCACGCAUAAGUGACAGCUUUGUAGAGAAUGGAAGAGCAGUGGUGUGGCUAUUAAUACCAGGACGGAUGAGUGUGGGCUUUGAAUAUUCCUUCCCCGUUUUAGAGAGAAGAGCUGCAUAAAUCUGCAUCUAGCUCUGCUACCGGCAUCAUUUCAAACUCUGAGUGACCAAAACCAGCUUUCAUCAUGUAAUCUAAAAAUGGGAAAUACAUAAUUGCUUAGAGUGUACAUAUAUGUCCUUUAAAGAAACUAAAAAAAUCGAAAUCUAGUCACUCACUUGUAUGUAUUGUGAAACAUACUGUCAAAGUGUAAGAAACAAGUCAAAUAUCUUUGCGACAAAGGAAAGAACUAGAAAGAAACAAAUAUGAUUAGGACUAAUUCAGUACAUUCCUUUGAACAUAUAUUAAAAAACGGAAAACCAUAUAUAAAACUGGACAAGGAACAACACAGGAAUAAAUUGUUUUUUUUUUCAAUUGAAUUGACUGGUUAAAUAGUCAUUAUUGAAGUAAACUUCAUCAGGAUAAAUAGAAAAGAAUUCAAAAAUAUUGCUGAUGGGAUAUUAAUAACAAAGAUCACGCUGCUUUAAAUUGAAUAUUUCUGUGAAAUGAUAGAUUAUUUACUGACUUUCACUCGAGAUCGGGAUGUGUAAUAUUUUAAUAAAUAAAAGAAAUCAUGCAAGCUCAAAGGCGUGAGAUUCUUCCCAUAACGUUGAAUCAUAAUGGAACAGAGCGUAUUCAUCGUUGAGUCCGAAAAGAAACAAUAGACAUGCCUUUCAUUGCUCAUCACUAUGAAACAAGCAGCAGCAGCCAAGCCACUGGUACAUCUAUCCGAGAAGAAAAUGUGACACCGUGUAAAACUGUGUCCAGUUUCUUCCUCACAUUUUUCUUUUUUCACGAGCAGAAAGUCAGCUCCGUUUUCGUCAACGUCGUUUAAUUUCAUCUUCAAUUCUUUGAUUUCCUUAUCUUCUGAGCAAGUCAGAAAGUAUCUCUUAAACGCAUGCACAACAUAAUCAAAAGACAAGGCACGAUCAUCACUUGUGAUAAGAAUGAAGCAUUUAGACAUGUCAGUAUUCUCAUCGAUGAACUUUGCAAUCAAUUUAUUUUUGACCUUCUUUUAAAGCAAAUUGUCAUACGAUAAAACACUAACUUCGUCACUGCAUUUGAUAUUAUCCAGUUGAUCAGAUGUGUCCAUCUUUAUGUUCUGAGAUCAAAUGAUCAGUAUAUGCUUGAUUUGGUUGUUUGUUUGUUUUUGGUUUUACGCCGUUUUUCAACAGUAUUUCAGUCAUGUAACUGCGGGCAAUUAACCUAACAAGUGUUCCUGGAUUCUGUAUAAGUAGAAACCUGUCCUCCACAAGUAAUUGCCAACUUCCCCACAUUAAUCAGAGGUGGAAAACUAUUGAUUUCAGACACAAUAUCGUUUAUUACGGAGAGCAUACGUCUAGCCCGAGGAUCGAACUCAAGACCUCUCAUUCCGUAGACAAAUGCUCUACCUACAGAGCUGAGCGGGCGUGCUCGUAUAUUAUUUCCCUGUAUUCCUUAUGUAUAAAUAAGUGUAUUGUGAACAUGUAAAUGGCUAAAAAUGUAAUGGUCACCAGGUUAAAUUUUAUGUUAAGACCGCUUGAAUAUAACACCUGUUCGAACGAAAAUUGGCGCGAAACUGAACACGCUCCUUGGAUGUAUAUCUGCUAGAAGUUAAGAUUUUUUUUAAAAAAACUCUUAAUUCAUUCUAUAAUUGAAUACUGAAUAAUCUGAAAGGAGAUAUUAUCUUAUCAAUAUAAAGUAGAGACCGUACCAUAGCUCUUCGCAUACUUUGAUUUUUCAAACUAAAGUGAUUAUUACAAGUACACCGGUUACGAUAAAAAUGUAAACAACGGACUCUGUCUAUGAAACUUUGAAAUGAAUGGAUGACAGUCGAUCUUAGUCAUAAUACUGAUUGACAGUGAAUGCUAAUGACUCCAUGUGUUGCAGAAAGAACACAAAGAUGGACACAUCUAAGUCGAUUAUAUUGUGCAUUCAUUGAAGGAAUACUCUCUGACUUGCUCAAAAGAGGGAAUCAAAGAAUUGGAGAUGAAAGUAAACGACGUUGACGAAAACGGAGCUGAUUUUCUGCUCGUGAAAGAAGAAAAUUAUGAUGAAGAAACUGGACAAAGUUUUGCACGGUGUCACAUUUUCUUCUCGGAUAGCUGUACCAGUGAUAUGGCUGCUCCUGCUUUUUUCAUAGUGAUGAGCUAUGAAACGCACGACUAUUUCUGUUUCUUUUCGGACUCAACGGUGAAUAAGCUGUGUUCCAUAAUUAUCCAACGUUAUGGAAAGACACUCGCGCCUCUGAGCUUGCAUGAUUUCUGGAAUAAAAAGCUUUGCGUAUUACAAAAAUCCAAAAUACGUGAAAUGAAGCUUGAACGUGACAUAAAGUUUGAGAAUGGGUCAACACUGUGUGCAUAAAAAAAUGAAUGCGAAAAUAAGAGAAUUGUAUUAUGAUGAACGGAGGUACAUCGACCCAUGUUUUGGUGAACACGUCAUCAAAUAAUUGUAUCGAAAUAGUAUAGGAAAACUGAAUAUCAUGCUUUAUCGAUGUGUUUGAUUUUAUUAAAAAAUAAAAAUAGUGAUAACAUACAUAUAGAAUUAUA
Mercenaria mercenaria is the source of this 4093-nucleotide long non-coding RNA. RefSeq lists it as uncharacterized. The record is from RefSeq and is a predicted model, not a curated record. The transcript is spliced from 6 exons. NCBI's taxonomy places the organism in Eukaryota, Metazoa, Mollusca, Bivalvia, Venerida, Veneridae.